This 235-nucleotide long non-coding RNA is filed under the name Elaeis guineensis (African oil palm). RNAcentral describes it as "long non-coding RNA (EGUI_LNC064743)". The record is from RNAcentral. Lineage: Eukaryota; Viridiplantae; Streptophyta; Magnoliopsida; Arecales; Arecaceae.
UCAGGAUCAACAGAUUCCAUUCAGCUACACAUACUAUUCCUAUAAUAGAUCUACUGUAGCCAAUAUAUACCAUAAGAUUUUGAAUAGCUAGGUAACCAAAUGAUUGUACAGUCAAACUACAGUAACCCCACUGUGAACAGCUGAGGCACCGUAGGUAAAAGAACUAUCUACACCAUUGUAACUUUAAGCAAGUCACCGACAAGUGGGUGGCCAUCCUAGUAACUACUCAUGUUAG